GGGAGUUAGCUCAGUUGGUGAGAGCCACAGUCUUAUAAACUGUAAGCCCUAACAAGGUAUGCAACGUGGGUUCGAUCCCCACACUCCCCA
Molecule: transfer RNA, 90 nt
Filed under: Blautia faecis
Lineage: Bacteria; Bacillati; Bacillota; Clostridia; Lachnospirales; Lachnospiraceae
Description: tRNA-Ile
Rfam family: tRNA
About the family: Transfer RNA (tRNA) molecules are approximately 80 nucleotides in length. Their secondary structure includes four short double-helical elements and three loops (D, anti-codon, and T loops).
Source: RNAcentral